CUGCUUUGAAGGAAUCCUAAGAUGCACAAUUUUUCAAAAUGCUGCAAGCUAGUAGAUGACAUGGAAGAAUAAACACAUGAUCAGAAACUAAAGAAAGCUGACGUGGAAGAAAAGAAGAAAAAGAUGAAAGCAAUUGGAUCAAUUCACAGAAACCAUAUCAGGAUACAGAGUGGAGAAGCCGUGACUUACUAUAGGCACCCUGUCACUUCAAUUAAUACAGCAUGCCCACCUCGAGCAAAGGAUGCUCUCAAUCCAAGGAAAUAUUCCAAUGGAUCUCUCUUGCCAAUGUUUAUUGCUAAAAGUGUUAGUCACUCAGUCAUGUCCAGUUCUGUGACCCCAUGGACUGUAGCUCGCCAGGCUCCUCUGUCCCUGGAAUUCUCCAGGUAAGAAUACUGGAGUGGGUUGUUGUGCCCUUCUCCAGGGGAUCUUCCAGUCCCAGGGAUCGAACCCAGGUCUUCCACAUUGCAGGCAGAUUCUUUACCAUCUGAGCUACCAGGGAAGCCUUAU
Molecule: long non-coding RNA, 507 nt
Organism: Bos indicus x Bos taurus (hybrid cattle)
Lineage: Eukaryota; Metazoa; Chordata; Mammalia; Artiodactyla; Bovidae
Source: Ensembl